RNAcentral lists this RNase P RNA (173 nucleotides) under Thauera sp. RNAcentral's name for it is "partial RNase P RNA component class A". It matches the Rfam family "Bacterial RNase P class A", at positions 205 to 367 of the family's 367-position model. Rfam says of the family: Ribonuclease P (RNase P) is a ubiquitous endoribonuclease, found in archaea, bacteria and eukarya as well as chloroplasts and mitochondria. The record is from RNAcentral. Lineage: Bacteria; Pseudomonadati; Pseudomonadota; Betaproteobacteria; Rhodocyclales; Zoogloeaceae.
GGCAAACCCCAUCCGGGGCAAGGCCAAAUAGGGGAGCAUUGGCGUGGCUCGCGUCGCUCCCGGGUAGGCUGCUAGAGCUUCACGGUAACGUGUCGCCCAGAGGAAUGACUGCCCGAUGUCGCCGGCUUGCCGGCGGCGUUCGACAGAACCCGGCUUAUCGGCGAACUUCCCCA